CUUUAACAGCUCCGGCCUGCUACACACCCACGGCCCGGGCGUAAGUGCAAUAAACGCAGUUUUAUGGCUGCGGAUCUAGGAAGCAGGAAGGUGCAAUAGAAACCUGAAACCAGAGGUUAGUAAAAGGGAAACAGAAGUAAAGUGACAAAAGGGGGGAAGGCAUGCGGGCUUCCAUCGGCCUUUGCUACGGGCACAGCCCCGGGCUGCGGCUGCCGGUGCCGCUCUCAUCCCGCACACGGCGCGGUGCCCACGCGGAUCGGACAGCACACAGCAUACAGCACACAGCCCCGCUCCUCCCACCCCGCUCGGAUGGAAAAGCCGUGCAAAGACGUUCCCCAAACCGAAUACCUGGCAAGUUACUAAGCAACAAGUGGCCGCGGGGACCGACAAACGCAAGCCUUACAUAAGGAAGGAGACGGAGGCGCUCCCUUACCUUCCCGACGUGCUCCGACGGCAGCGCCCGCCCGGCCCCGCGCAGCCCGGGGCUCCCGCGGCACUCACUGCAGCCGGCGCGGAGCGGAGCGGAGGUGCGGAGCUCACCGCCCCCGAGCGCCGCCAGGCCCCUCCCCGGCACGGCGCCCCGCCGCCGGCUCCACCUCCCCAGGUGCCUCCUUCCCACCGCAGCCGGGGACGGAGCGCAGAGGGACGCGGCUCCAUCCGGGCAGAGCUCCUGGCGGCUCCGAUCGCGUCCCCUCCCCUCCCCACCUCCGUUAUCGGGACGCGAUAACGUCGGAUCUGCCCACAGCUUUCCCAUUCCUCGCACGGAGCUAAACUGCGCUUCAUGCCCCGAAGGGUACAGAGAACACCGCGCUAAGGUCAAUAAACCCAGCCGGGUUGAGCCCCGCAGCCCCUCUUCUCUCCAGUGAAUGGCAUUACCUGCAUCUGCUUGAGGAAUAAACACUGCUGUGCUCUGCUGAGCCACGCUGACCCCCAGCGCCUCAGCUCACACACGGCUGCAGCGCACUCCAUCAAUCCAUCUCAGAACCGUGGGCUCACGGCUCACUGGGUCAGUUGGGCAGCCUCAGGGUCAGGAGAUUAAAGAGCAAUCUGCUUCUAUGUACGCAGACACGCUGACCGUCAGGAGCCAACCGUGACCGCUGGAAUCCGGCUCUGUGUGUGCCCAGGUACAACCACUGCACAUACAGAAGCCACAUCCUGCUACCAGGAACGUUCUUCCUAUCAAACCCACUGAUAACCAUCACUACAAAUCCCAGCACAAACAGCAAAUGGAUGCAACAGAAGCAACGCUAUCCAAAAUGCACAGGCAGAAGGCACACACAGCAAUUCAGAACAGAAGAUCAGCCCGCACAGGGCUGCCGAGCAGUCAUACAGAUGCACCAAACUGCCAGGAUGAUGUCUGCUUCUUUUGUUUUUU
Molecule: long non-coding RNA, 1375 nt
Filed under: Gallus gallus (chicken)
Lineage: Eukaryota; Metazoa; Chordata; Aves; Galliformes; Phasianidae
Description: long non-coding RNA NONGGAT005217
Source: RNAcentral